CCUACGGGCGGCAGCAGUAGGGAAUAUUGCUCAAUGGGGGAAACCCUGAAGCAGCAACGCCGCGUGGAGGAUGACGGUUUUCGGAUUGUAAACUCUUUUUUUUAUAGAAGUUAAUGACGGUAUCUAACGAAUAAGCACCGUCUAAUUCCGUUCCAGCAGCCGCGGUAAUACGGAGGGUGCAAGCGUUACUCGGAAUAACUGGGCGUAAAGCGCGCGUAGGCGGGAUAGCAAGUCAGAUGUGAAAUCCUAUGGCUUAACCAUAGAACUGCAUUUGAAACUGUUAUUCUAGAGUAUGGGAGAGGUAGGUGGAAUUCGUGGUGUAGGGGUAAAAUCCGUAGAGAUCAAGAGGAAUACUCAUUGCGAAGGCGACCUGCUAGAACAUAACUGACGCUGAUGCGCGAAAGCGUGGGGAGCAAACAGGAUUAGAUACCCUUGUAGUC
Molecule: ribosomal RNA, 440 nt
Filed under: uncultured bacterium
Lineage: Bacteria
Description: partial 16S ribosomal RNA
Rfam family: Bacterial small subunit ribosomal RNA
Source: RNAcentral